RNAcentral lists this ribosomal RNA (372 nucleotides) under Triticum aestivum (bread wheat). Its description in RNAcentral is "partial small subunit ribosomal RNA". The record is from RNAcentral. Lineage: Eukaryota; Viridiplantae; Streptophyta; Magnoliopsida; Poales; Poaceae.
AUGAUGACUCUUAUACCUAAAGAGAAAGAGGCUACUAGCAUGAAAAAAAUCAGGCCUAUCAGUCUCUUAAACUGUAUUUUUAAAGUGUUUACUAAAGUACUCACAAAUAGAUUGGCACUAUUGAUGAAUACUCUCACCUCUAGUAACCAAACUGCCUUUAUCAAAGGCAGGUAUAUCCUUGAAAGUGUAGUGACUGCACAUGAAGUGCUGCACUCCACUUACAAAUCAGGCAAUCCAGGUCUAGUCCUAAAACUAGACUAUGAGAAAGCCUUUGAUAAAGUAAACCUAGAUUUCCUACUAGAAAUUCUAGAGAAGAGAAAUUUUGGUCCUUUAUGGAUCUCUUGGAUUAAGCAGAUUACUCACAUGGGAUAA